CAAUAGCGUAUAUUAAAGUUGUUGCAGUUAAAAAGCUCGUAGUUGGAUUUCUGAUCGAGACAUCAGGUCGGGUCCGAGAGGAUCAUGUACUUUGAUUUUGUUUUGAUCAUCCUUGGGGAGAGCAUUUCUGGCAUUCAGUUGUCGGGAUUGGGAUCCUCAUCGUUUACUGUGAAAAAAUUAGAGUGUUCAUAGCAGGCCUCGGCCUCUGAAUACAUUAGCAUGGAAUAAUAAGAUAGGACUUUGGUGGUCUAUUUUGUUGGUUUGCACGCCAAAGUAAUGAUUAAUAGGGAUAGUUGGGGGUAUUCGUAUUCAAUUGUCAGAGGUGAAAUUCUUGGAUUUAUGGAAGACGAACUACUGCGAAAGCAUUUACCAAGGAUGUUUUCAUUAA
RNAcentral lists this ribosomal RNA (388 nucleotides) under uncultured eukaryote. Its description in RNAcentral is "partial 18S ribosomal RNA". It matches the Rfam family "Eukaryotic small subunit ribosomal RNA", at positions 592 to 976 of the family's 1831-position model. The record is from RNAcentral.